GACGAACGCUGGCGGCGUGCUUAACACAUGCAAGUCGAACGGAAAGGCCCUGCUUUUGUGGUGUUCUCGAUUGGCGAACGGGUGAGUAACACGUGAGUAACCUGCCCUUGACUUUGGGAUAACUUCAGGAAACUGGGGCUAAUACCGGAUAGCAGCUCCUGCUGCAUGGUGGGGGUUGGAAAUUUUCGGCGGUUGGGGAUGGACUGGCGGCUUAUCAGCUUGUUGGUUGGGUAGUGGCUUACCAAGGCUUUGACGGGUAGCCGGCCUGAGAGGGUGACCGGGCUCAUUGGGACUGAGAUACGGCCCAGACUCGUACGGGAGGCAGCAGUGGGGAAUAUUGCACAAUGGGCGGAAGCCUGAUGCAGAAACGCCGCGUGCGGGAUGACGGCCUUCGGGUUGUAAACAGCUUUCGCCUGUGACGAAGCGUGAGUGACGGUAAUGGGUAAAGAAGCACCGGCUAACUACGUG
Molecule: ribosomal RNA, 468 nt
Filed under: uncultured bacterium
Lineage: Bacteria
Description: partial 16S ribosomal RNA
Rfam family: Bacterial small subunit ribosomal RNA
Source: RNAcentral